GCAAGACCGGUGCCAGCCGCCGCGGUAACACCGGCGGCUCGAGUGGUAACCGUUAUUAUUGGGUCUAAAGGGUCUGUAGCCGGCCGGAUAAGUCUCUUGAGAAAUCUGGCAGCUUAACUGUCAGGCUUUCAGGAGAUACUGUCUGGCUCGAGGCCGGGAGAGGUGAGAGGUACUUCAGGGGUAGGGGUGAAAUCUUGUAAUCCUUGAAGGACCACCAGUGGCGAAGGCGUCUCACCAGAACGGACCUGACGGCAAGGGACGAAAGCUAGGGGCACGAACCGGAUUAGAUACCCGGGUAGUCCUAGCCGUAAACGAUACUCGCUAGGUGUCGGCCACGGUGCGACCGUUGUCGGUGCCGUAGGGAAGCCG
This 369-nucleotide ribosomal RNA is filed under the name uncultured archaeon. Its description in RNAcentral is "bacterial SSU rRNA". It matches the Rfam family "Archaeal small subunit ribosomal RNA", at positions 446 to 814 of the family's 1478-position model. The record is from RNAcentral.